UACGAAGGGGGCUAGCGUUGUUCGGAAUUACUGGGCGUAAAGCGCGCGUAGGCGGUGAUCCAUGUCAGAGGUGAAAGCCCGGGGCUCAACUCCGGAAUUGCCUUUGAAACGGGAUCGCUAGAGUCCGAGAGAGGAUGGCGGAAUUCCUAGUGUAGAGGUGAAAUUCGUAGAUAUUAGGAAGAACACCGGUGGCGAAGGCGGCCAUCUGGCUCGGUACUGACGCUCAGGCGCGAAAGCGUGGGGAGCAAACAGG
This 253-nucleotide ribosomal RNA is filed under the name uncultured bacterium. RNAcentral's name for it is "partial 16S ribosomal RNA". It matches the Rfam family "Bacterial small subunit ribosomal RNA", at positions 524 to 776 of the family's 1533-position model. The record is from RNAcentral. RNAcentral also lists the same sequence under 1 other name.